UACGUAGGGUGCGAGCGUUGUCCGGAAUUACUGGGCGUAAAGCGCGUGUAGGCGGUCUCGCAAGUCGGAUGUGAAAGCCCAGGGCUCAACCCUGGAAGUGCACUCGAUACUGCGAGGCUAGAGUCCCGGAGGGGAUGGUGGAACUCUCGGUGUAGAGGUGAAAUUCGUAGAUAUCGAGAAGAACACCGGUGGCGAAGGCGGCCAUCUGGACGGUGACUGACGCUGAGACGCGAAAGCGUGGGGAGCAAACAGG
This 253-nucleotide ribosomal RNA is filed under the name uncultured bacterium. RNAcentral's name for it is "partial 16S ribosomal RNA". It matches the Rfam family "Bacterial small subunit ribosomal RNA", at positions 524 to 776 of the family's 1533-position model. The record is from RNAcentral.